CGCAUUCAUGCUUUUGCAUUAAAUUUUGUUGACAUGAGUGGUUGGACUGAAGUUGAAAAAUAUUUCAAAGUGAUUUUAAAAUGGAUUGGAAUAUGUCUUGAAGUAAAGGAAUAAAAAAAAACAAAACCCCUCCUCUCUCGGUUCUGGCCGCAGGCCAGAAUUCCUGUCCCCUUUCUCUUUCCCCCUCUCUGCUUCGGCCCGAGUGGCCAUCUCUCUCUCGGCCCAAACCCUCCCCCUCUCCCUCGGCCCAUUGGCCUGCUCCCGCAAUCGGCCCACUGGCCGCGCGCGUGAGGCACAGCCCAGCUUGGACCAGCCCCGCGCCACCCCUUUCCCUUCUCUCCCUGACAGCCCGACCUCGCUGUUUCUCUGACUGUCAACCGAGCCCCGCUUGUCAGCCGCCCUUCCCUUCUUCAACCCCG
Molecule: long non-coding RNA, 419 nt
Filed under: Sorghum bicolor (sorghum)
Lineage: Eukaryota; Viridiplantae; Streptophyta; Magnoliopsida; Poales; Poaceae
Description: long non-coding RNA (SBIC_LNC016324)
Source: RNAcentral